AUCACAGUGAAGUUGAUGACAGUUGUUGUGUUCCACGCUAACGGGUUGUAAACAAUGACAUGUUGCUCCAGAGCCUGAUGAACACCUGGGACAAGGAGAUUAAAGGAGGAAUAUGGAGCUAUUUGAUUCAGGUACGGUGCAACAGCUAGGAGGUGACUAGCCAAGCUUUCCAUAAAGACUACAAGCUAACCUGGCUCCUCCCAAGCGGGUCCCGAGGAUGCUGGGUAAUUCAAGGUUGUGGGGCAGCAGGAAGAGUGCGGCCAGAAGCUCCUCCACUCCCAUCAUGGCCUGCAGGAGAUGCUGCACGUACAUGUCUGCCACUUUGGGAGACUCUGUGCCAGU
Long non-coding RNA from Acanthopagrus latus (yellowfin seabream), 342 nucleotides. RefSeq lists it as uncharacterized. The record is from RefSeq and is a predicted model, not a curated record. The transcript has 3 exons. NCBI's taxonomy places the organism in Eukaryota, Metazoa, Chordata, Actinopteri, Spariformes, Sparidae.